GGCAACCCUGACGGAGCAACGCCGCGUGUGGGAGGACGGCCUUCGGGUUGUAAACCACUUUUCUCAGGGAAGAAGCCCUGACGGUACCUGAGGAAUCAGCCUCGGCUAACUCCGUGCCAGCAGCCGCGGUAAUACGGAGGAGGCAAGCGUUAUCCGGAAUUAUUGGGCGUAAAGCGUCCGCAGGGGGCACAUCAAGUCUGCUGUUAAAGGCUGGAGCUUAACUCCGGUAGAGCAGUGGAAACUGGUGUGCUAGAGGGCGACAGGGGUAGAGGGAAUUCCCAGUGUAGCGGUGAAAUGCGUAGAGAUUGGGAAGAACACCGGUGGCGAAAGCGCUCUACUGGGUCGCACCUGACCCUCAGGGACGAAAGCUA
This 371-nucleotide ribosomal RNA is filed under the name uncultured cyanobacterium. RNAcentral's name for it is "bacterial SSU rRNA". It matches the Rfam family "Bacterial small subunit ribosomal RNA", at positions 376 to 762 of the family's 1533-position model. Lineage: Bacteria; Bacillati; Cyanobacteriota. The record is from RNAcentral.